Non-coding RNA from Sus scrofa (pig), 692 nucleotides. The record is from RefSeq and is a predicted model, not a curated record. Lineage: Eukaryota; Metazoa; Chordata; Mammalia; Artiodactyla; Suidae.
GGGAACUAGGGCAAGGCUUUAGAGAGGGAUAACUGAUCAAUUAGUUCUAAAUGCCAGAAAAGCUUCUACAGGAGGAAAGUCUUACUUUGGAACCAGCGGGUUGCGUUUAAUUAAUGUGGAAAUGACGGAAACACCCCCUUCUCUUACAAGGAGUAAAUGACUGGCAAACAAGAAGGGAGGGAAAUUUACAAAGAUCUUUCAACGAAGAGGCAGAAAAUCUCUUCAUCUAGACCAUCUUUCUCACCUUCCCCUACCAUCCUAUUUCCAGGUACCAUGUCCCAGACCACUAGCACAAAGUCCAGGAGUCUAAAGGCAUGAAUUCCCAAAUAUAUUGUUCCUCGGAGACAUCUGAGUCUGCUUCUGAAGAAAACUGUGAGAUUUAGGACAAUUCUAAGUAUGCUAUCUCUGUGCACAGCCCACAAGCAGAAAAAAAUAGAUGACUUGAAGGAGGCGGUGGAGCCCUUGGAUCACUAGUUCUCAGCCUGGAUGGUUUUGUCACCCCAGGGGAUAUAUAACAAUGUAUGGAGAUAUUUUGAUUGUCACAACUGGGAAUAUGCUGUUGGUAUCUGACUAGACCAGACUGGAUGGACUAUGCUCUAAUAUCCUAGAAUUUCCUGCUUCCAUGUGGAAAAGAACAUACAACAAAAAUGAAGAAGUCAUACUUCAGCUUUUAUCUUCUUGUGGCUCAAUCA